AUGAUUGACACACUCAACUCCUUGCUGCAACACGCGUCACGAUCCGGCCUGCUCCAACGUCUCACCAACAGGCAUGCCACGUCAAGGAUAUCUCUAUUUGAGGACAACGUGGCGAUCUUUUGCCACCCAACCAACUCCGAGUUAGCCACCCUUCGCGAGCUGUUGUGUGUGUUUGGCGACGCCUCUGGCCUGUGCACUAACUUCCUGAAGUGCUCCGCCACCCCCAUCCGAUGCGGGCAGGAGAUUGCCACGGCCAUCGCCUCAACUAUUGGGUGUGCGGUCACCGCCUUUCCCAUUGUCUACAUGGGCCUCCCCCUCUCCAUUCGCAAGACCCCCUCCUCGGCAUUGCUCCCUCUGGUGGACAAGCUAGCAAGGAAGCUCGCGACCUGGAAGGCCGUGCUCCUAUCUCACGGCGAGCGGAUCGCCCUUGUGCGCCACGUUCUCUCCGCGAUGCCCGUCCACAUCCUCAUGGUGAUUGCUAUCUGCCCAAAGAUCCUGAAGAAGAUCACGCGCAUCAUCUGUGACUUCUUCUGGCAUGGACGCCGAGACGCCAGCUCAGGCUGCUGCCUUGUCAACUGGCAGCGCAUUUGCCGCCCCGUCGAGUUUGGCGGCCUCGGCAUGCGGGAUCUUCACCUCACCGGCAUCUCGUUGCGCUGUCGUUGGCUUUGGCUCAAGGCCACCGACCCAUCGCGCCCUUGGCACCACCUACAACUCCCCCACGACAACGAUACUUGCCGCAUUUUUCCGCGCUUCAACCUCAUGGCACCUGGACGAUGGCAGAACCUGCCGAUUCUGGAGCGAUCACCGGCUCGAUGGUCACGCAAUCCCUGA
Molecule: ribosomal RNA, 831 nt
Filed under: Triticum aestivum (bread wheat)
Lineage: Eukaryota; Viridiplantae; Streptophyta; Magnoliopsida; Poales; Poaceae
Description: partial small subunit ribosomal RNA
Source: RNAcentral